This 467-nucleotide ribosomal RNA is filed under the name uncultured bacterium. Its description in RNAcentral is "partial 16S ribosomal RNA". It matches the Rfam family "Bacterial small subunit ribosomal RNA", at positions 29 to 507 of the family's 1533-position model. The record is from RNAcentral.
ACGAACGCUGGCGGCGUGCUUCACACCUGCCAGUCGCACGGAAAGGCCCUGCUUUUGUGGGGUGCUCGAGUGGCGAACGGGUGAGUAACACGUGAGUAACCUGCCCUUGACUUUGGGAUAACUUCAGGAAACUGGGGCUAAUACCGGAUAUGAGCUCCUGCUGCAUGGUGGGGGUUGGAAAUUUUCGGCGGUUGGGGAUGGACUCGCUGCUUAUCAGCUUGUUGGUGGAGUAGUGGCUUACCAAGGCUUUGACGGGUAGCCGGCCUGAGAGGGUGACCGGCGUCAGUGGGAGUGUGAUACGGCCCAGACUCCUAAGGAAGGCAGCAGUGGGGAAGAUUGCGCAAUGAGCGGAAGCCUGAUGCAGCAACGCCGCGUGCGGGAUGACGGCCUUCGUGUAUUAAACGGCUUUCGCCUGUGACGAAGCGUGAGUGACGAUAAUGGGUAAAGAAGCACCGGCUAACUACGAG